Molecule: small RNA, 471 nt
Filed under: uncultured Glomus
Lineage: Eukaryota; Fungi; Glomeromycota; Glomeromycetes; Glomerales; Glomeraceae
Description: SSU rRNA
Rfam family: Eukaryotic small subunit ribosomal RNA
Source: RNAcentral
AGCAGCCGCGGUAAUUCCAGCUCCAAUAGCGUAUAUUAAAGUUGUUGCAGUUAAAAAGCUCGUAGUUGAAUUUCGGGAUCAAUAUUUCGGUCAUGCCGUUGGUAUGCACUGUUAUCAUUGAUUUCUCACCUUCUAAAGAACCGUAAUGCCAUUAAUUUGGUGUUACGGGGAAUUAGGACUGUUACCUUGAAAAAAUUAGAGUGUUUAAAGCAGGCUCACGCUUGAAUACAUUAGCAUGGAAUAAUGAAAUAGGACGUUUGAUUCUAUUUUGUUGGUUUCUAGGAUCGACGUAAUGAUUAAUAGGGAUAGUUGGGGGCAUUAGUAUUCAAUUGUCAGAGGUGAAAUUCUUGGAUUUAUUGAAGACUAACUACUGCGAAAGCAUCUGCCAAGGAUGUUUUCAUUAAUCAAGAACGAAAGUUAGGGGAUCGAAGACGAUCAGAUACCGUCGUAGUCUUAACCAUAAACUAUGCC